RNAcentral lists this ribosomal RNA (253 nucleotides) under uncultured bacterium. RNAcentral's name for it is "partial 16S ribosomal RNA". It matches the Rfam family "Bacterial small subunit ribosomal RNA", at positions 524 to 776 of the family's 1533-position model. The record is from RNAcentral.
UACGGAGGGUGCGAGCGUUGUCCGGAAUCACUGGGCGUAAAGGGCGCGUAGGCGGCCUGAUAAGUAGGGGGUGAAAUCCUGCGGCUUAACCGCAGGGCUGCCUUCUAAACUGUCAGGCUCGAGCACAGUAGAGGCAGGUGGAAUUCCCGGUGUAGCGGUGGAAUGCGUAGAGAUCGGGAAGAACAUCAGUGGCGAAGGCGGCCUGCUGGGCUGUUCUUGACGCUGAGGCGCGAAAGCUAGGGGAGCAAACGGG